RNAcentral lists this ribosomal RNA (638 nucleotides) under uncultured bacterium. Its description in RNAcentral is "bacterial SSU rRNA". It matches the Rfam family "Bacterial small subunit ribosomal RNA", at positions 607 to 1244 of the family's 1533-position model. The record is from RNAcentral.
GCUCAACCGGGGAGGGUCAUUGGAAACUGGGAAACUUGAGUGCAGAAGAGGAGAGUGGAAUUCCACGUGUAGCGGUGAAAUGCGUAGAGAUGUGGAGGAACACCAGUGGCGAAGGCGACUCUCUGGUCUGUAACUGACGCUGAGGAGCGAAAGCGUGGGGAGCGAACAGGAUUAGAUACCCUGGUAGUCCACGCCGUAAACGAUGAGUGCUAAGUGUUAGGGGGUUUCCGCCCCUUAGUGCUGCAGCUAACGCAUUAAGCACUCCGCCUGGGGAGUACGGUCGCAAGACUGAAACUCAAAGGAAUUGACGGGGGCCCCCACAAGCGGUGGAGCAUGUGGUUUAAUUCGAAGCAACGCGAAGAACCUUACCAGGUCUUGACAUCCUCUGACAACCCUAGAGAUAGGGCUUUCCCUUCGGGGACAGAGUGACAGGUGGUGCAUGGUUGUCGUCAGCUCGUGUCGUGAGAUGUUGGGUUAAGUCCCGCAACGAGCGCAACCCUUGAUCUUGGUUGCCAGCAUUCAGUUGGGCACUCUAAGGUGACUGCCGGUGACAAACCGGAGGAAGGUGGGGAUGACGUCAAAUCAUCAUGCCCCUUAUGACCUGGGGCUACACACGUGCUACAAUGGACAGAACAAAG